This 206-nucleotide ribosomal RNA is filed under the name fungal sp. RNAcentral's name for it is "partial small subunit ribosomal RNA". It matches the Rfam family "Eukaryotic small subunit ribosomal RNA", at positions 1337 to 1563 of the family's 1831-position model. The record is from RNAcentral. Lineage: Eukaryota; Fungi.
GAGACCUUAACCUGCUAAAUAGCCAGGCUGGCAUUUGAAAAUCGCCGGCUUCUUCAAGGGAAGGGAAGGGGAGAAAGGAAGGAAGGGGGAGGAAAGAAAAGGGAUGUGAUGACAAAAAAGGUGCUGGGAAAAUCGCGCGCUACACUGACAGAGAAAACGAGUUUAUUUUCCUUGGCCGGAAGGUCUGGGUAAUCUUGUGAAACUCU